UCCUAAAGACCCAAAGAGCUCGGGAUCA
RNAcentral lists this non-coding RNA (28 nucleotides) under Mus musculus (house mouse). The record is from RNAcentral. Lineage: Eukaryota; Metazoa; Chordata; Mammalia; Rodentia; Muridae.